This 6248-nucleotide long non-coding RNA is filed under the name Sus scrofa (pig). RNAcentral describes it as "lncRNA (ENSSSCG00000056248.1)". Lineage: Eukaryota; Metazoa; Chordata; Mammalia; Artiodactyla; Suidae. The record is from RNAcentral.
GCAUUGUCACAUAAAGCAUCUCAUGUAAUUCAACAGAUAUAGUUAGAGGUAAUGAGAUCUAUAAUAGGUGCAAAAACUGAAGCUCAGAGCCAUGAUGCAAUUGCUUUUUAAGAUAGCUAAGCAAGUGAGAAGCAAAAAUGAGACGCAAAUCUCGGUCUGGCAACUCUAAGUCUUGUGCUCUUUUUGCCCUAGGCCAAGUGAGAUGUAAGUGGCCACAGGUUUUUCAAAGUUCCUGCACUGGGUGGAUGCUGACAAGAGGGCACCAUGCCUCUGUACCUGAUUGUGGGUCCUGGUAGAGAGGUGCUGCUGUGGCACUGCCUGCUUCCAGCAGCAGGUGGCAGUAUGAGCAAGAGAAUCCUUACUAGUCCUUAGACAGAACACUCAUAUAUUAAACACAGAUUUCAAGGUGGGGUACACUUGUCCUGGGAUUUUGUCUUUAUUUUAAAUUUUGGUGUGUUUUUUUAAUAUCAUGGAUCAUUUUGCAUUAAUUUUGAUUUUUUUAAAACAUCGCGUCAAAUAUUAUUUAACAUGAUCACUGAGUUUUGUGGGCACUUCCUUAAAAUUUGUAUCUCAGUUGAGUGUCUCACUUACCUCACUAGUCCUGGUCCUGGCUCCAAAAUUUGAAUUUCCUAAGGCAUAUAUAAACAAUGAUAAAGUACUGUGUUAUAGAUCUUGAGCUUCUGCAGUACCCUUUAACAGAACUGAUGGUACAGCCCUCUUCACAAUCACCCAUUUCCCUCUUUACUAUGUGCUGCUCUGGGUGUAAAAAACUUUGAUGAAUCCCAAAGGGACAAUUUGAAAUACUGGUCUAAGUGUUGAUGAGGCAGAAGACUGGGUAAAAACUCCUUUUGCAAGAUGAGUGGUUUCCAGUUCUUCACCCUCAACAGCCUUUGAGAAGAGCCUAAUCAAGGUGUCAGCUCAUAGACCAUGCAAAAUAGAUUCUGAUGAUACAGUGCUUUUGAUUUAUAUCUUAGAAGUUCAAGUACUAAAUGACAUCACUCUUUUCAGUGCCACCAGCCUAUUUAUCUCAACACGUUUCUCAACAUUUACAACUCUGAAAGUGACAGAUGGGAGUAAUAUUGAUGCUGAGCCCUGCUUUGUUCCAGGAUACAUGAACCAAUGAAAGAAAAAUCCAUCCAUCCAGUUAAGAGAUUCCUGUUUAAUAGUAUGAGGGGGCAGUUCUGGAAGGGGCCUUCUCUGUCCCCUUGUUACCUUAUCACUGUGCUACAGCCACUGGCCCAGGCCCCAACUGAGGCUUGCUCUCUCCUUUCUGUCCCAACACCACUGCCACUUCUGUCCCUAAUCCUCCUGCCUUUGGCCAUUCCUACAGCCUUCUUCAGCCUCCUCAUCCCAGGGGGAGGGAGAGUUAAGGGGAAGAAGUACAGAUGGAGAAGCCCCAGUGAGAAAAACGGAGGCCUGGGACCGAUCAAGGUGACCCUUGGUGUGGGAUCCUGGAGAAGACCUUCAGGGCAUCUUAGCCCUGGUUUCUUCAUCUGUAAAAUGGGGUUUGGCCUAGAUGAUCUUGCAAGACUCCUGAGUCCAGGAUUCUGCCCAGCUACCCCUGGGAAUGUCUUUUGUAGAAUUCUCUCCAGAAAAGAAAGCUGUUUGGUGGUUGUUUCCUCUGUCCAAGCAAGGCUCAGCCCCUGAACUGGACACCUGCCUUUCUGCAGUGACCACAGGCCCUACUCUCUCUUUCUCUCUCCCUUGGACUGAGGUACAGAUUCAGAUGCUUGGUGGACGCAGCCACCUAGGAGUACCUCCCUUGAAUUGAGGUACAGAUUCAGAUGAUUGGUGGCUUGGCCCCUGAGCUGGACACCUCCCUUUCUGCAGUGACCAUAAGCCCUACUCUCUCUCUCUCUCCCUUGAAUCGAGGUACAGAUUCAGAUGCAUGGUGGACGCAGCCACCUAGGAUGCAGCCACCAUGUUUCAGAAAAACCUGGUAUCUCUCCCUCAAGUCUGCUUCUCUUCCUGCGUUCACCAUCUCCAUGGGAGGUCCCCACCUUCCCAGUCACUCAAGCCUCAGACUUGUGAGGCAUUACAGGUGCCUCAGUGUCUGUCAUGCUUGAGAUCCAGGUCAUCAGAACUCCUGAUGAUUUUUACCUCCUGAGGAAAUGUCACAUCUAUCCCUACCUCUCCGGCUCUGCUGCUGCUGCUGGGCCCAAGUCUUCUGCUUGCCCUUCAAGCAGAAGGUUCCCCACCACAUCCCCCUCUCAUCUCUCCCCUCUCCCUAAAUGUAGCCUUUGCUGCAUAACCACUAGCUGCACAGCUAAGAAGCCUGGUUCAAGCUGGCUCCCGGACUGUGAGCUUCCCUCCCACAAACAUACAUAUGUUUGCUUCAGCUGAAAACAAUAAUCCAUUCAUGUGGCCUGGAUGCCUUAAACCUCCAGGCACAUUCUUCUUUUGAUUUUGGCUUUUCUGAGAGACAGUGGAGAUAUUAAUGAAAACAAUGAAAAGCAGCAAUUUGUGCAUUCCUGAUGGGUAGUGAUCCAUAAGACCCUAACUAUGUCCUGACAACCUAGUAACUGCCUCAUUUAAUAUUCAUAAUAACCUGGGAGAGAGGUAUUAUUAAACCUAUUUUAUAGUUUAGGAGGGUAUAGCAUAGGGAGGAUAAUUUAUCUAAGAACAUCAUGGAUGAGCUGGAUUUUUAGCAGAGGUCUGUUAAGUUCCAAAGCCCAUGUACAAUUUAUAUACAUUCAGUCCUUCCUGAAUCUUUUUUUUUUUUUUUGCUUUUCAGGGCCACACCCACAGCAUAUGUAGGUUCCCAGGCUAAGGGUCCAAUCAGAGCUACAGCUGCCAGCCUACACAACAGCAAUGCCAGAUCCGACUCGCAUCUGUGACCUGCACCACAGCUCACAGCAAUGCCAGGUCCUUAACCCACCGGGCAAGGAUGAGGAUUGAACCCAGGAAUUGAACCUGCAUCCUCAUGGAUGCUAGUCAGAUGUGUUGUUUCUGCUGCACCACAACAGGAACUCCAGUCCUUUCUGAAUCUUUUUUUUUUUUUUUUUGGUCUUUUUGUUGUUGUUGUUGUUGCUAUUUCUUGGGCCGCUCCCACGGCAUAUGGAGGUUCCCAGGCUAGGGGUUGAAUCGGAGCUGUAGCCACAGCAACGCGGGAUCCGAGCCAUGUCUGCAACCUACACGACAGCUCACGGCAACGCCGGAUCGUUAACCCACUGAGCAAGGGCAGGGACCGAACCCGCAACCUCAUGGUUCCUAGUCGGAUUCGUUAACCACUGCGCCACGACGGGAACUCCCUUCCUGAAUCUUGAAGAAAGUUUUUAGAUAGUUCAUGAUGUGAUUGUGAAAGGUUUGUAAAAAAGAGUUGACAGAGAUGAGCACUGGUAUGUGUUUAUGACAGCUGGUAGGGAAUUUUGUAAAAACACAUUUUCCACCCAAAAUUUCCAGGGCUAUUUCUGAAGCCUAAUGUAAGAUUCUACUUCACCUGCUUUUCAUGGGUGACUCAUCAAUGAGCAUGGUUUAUGAGUCUCUCUUUCAAGCUAGAAGUCAUGGCACAACCUAAAAAACAACUAACCAUCUUCUCCACUAGAAUGCACUGCUGUUUCAUCCAAUGUGAGAACACAGUCAGGGGAGAAACAUCUCAAAGAUCAAUGCAGUCUUCAGAUGAAAAAAUCGGAGCACAAGGAAGUUAAGAGUGACCAGCCAAGGUCACAUAGCUUGCAAGAGAAUGAGCCCAAGAGUCUCACUUUCUUAGUAGAAAGAGCUUUGUGCAAACCAUUUCUCCAAACAGCCAACUAUUAAGUACUGAGUGCUUUUGAAGGCCAAGUUCUCUGCUAGGAGCUGGGCCAUGAGGCCUGGAUCCUACUUUUGAGGUGUCCACCUGCCUGGUGAGGGACUGGCAUUUUAAGGAGCUCGAAGACAAAGGGAUGGGGCUGGGUUUGCCCCUGAGAGAAGCUCUCCUGUUUUGCAUUGUUAGGAGAACAACUGUGCAGGAUUGGUAGGAAAAUGUUUUUCAGAUGAGGACAUGCAAGACAAAUAGUUAGGACAGAUACAAAGUGGGAAACUAGUGUUUCCUCCAAUUCAUCACCAAGUUUCACCAGAAAAACCUUAAAUUAGGUUGAAGUUAGUCAUUGAUAGUGAAAUAGGGCCUGGAAGAAACCUUGGAUUUGGAUUCCAGAUCUGCCACCUUCUAGUUCUGGGACCAUGGGGGAGUCACAAUCUCUGCCAUGGUUUCUUCAACUGGAAUGGGAGAACAGAGCAUCAGAGCCAAGCUUACACACCAAGAUGGAGAUCAAUUUCUCAGCCUCUUAUGUUCAGCAACCAUGGAGACCUUGUCUGUGGUUACUGCAGCCUCUUGAAAUCCCCUCUGAAUUAUUCUCUCCAAGACCAUGAAAGAAGGCAUUGGAAAAGGGCCUUGAAUCCCUAUAUGUUAGGUUUCAUUCAUCCACCCUGCCUCCACAGACCAAUUCAGCUUUCUGGGGUGAUGAGAGGAUGUGCCCUGGGAAGUGAGAGCAGAAGACCACCCCUUGGGGACCAUGGUGACCCAGUCUUAGGAUGACUCUCUGACUGUUUCCCCAUCUGUAGAGAAGGCAUGAUGCCCCUCACACCACUGUUGUGAAGACUAAAUAUAUGUAAAGCCUCUAGCCCACUACUUGGUACACAAUUUUAAAGACCAUUAGAAAGUGGUACUGUAUGAAAAAGCUUUGGAAAUAAGACUGCCUUACAUAAAAGAUAAUUAAAAGCCAUGACUUUUACCUAGGUAGGAAAAAGCCACAAUGAGCUCAAUUGUGACCUAUUAUUAUACUGAAAAGACAAUUCUCUUGGAAAGAUAGUCUGGCAAUGUAAUUGGAUCUGAACUAAUAUGGAUCAGGUCAAGUUGAAGGUUAGGUCAGUGGUUCUCAAACCCAAGGAAGACAUUAGAAGCACCUGAGAUACUUUAAAAAGCCCAAUGGCCAGUCUUCACUGUAGACUAAUUGAAUCAAUCAAAACUUCUGGGGAGGAGGACGAGGCACUGGGAGAGUUUAAAGCUUUCCACGUGAUUCCAACCUAUAGUGAUUGAGAGCCACUGGCUUAGAUAAAGCUACAUGCCUACUAGGUUAGGACUGGGGAAGAAAUCCAUCAGGUUCAUGGUAUCUCCCCUCAUGGUCUGCCUCAGUCUGAAUUUCCUACAUUCGAAGCAUUGACCAGUGGUACCAUGCACACUAACCAGGACUAACCUGGCUACAAUCUGUUUGGUUACUGUUUUACGAUGAUUUUGAAAGGAAGUAGAGGUUUGACUUGAAGGACUUGGUAUGAUAGGUUGAUUUCAGUAGGAAUGUUUAUCGGUGAGGAUUAGAUUUGGUUGCAUAAAAUGAAAAAUUCAAAAUAGCAGGCCCUUAAAUAAGGCCAAAGUCUGGAGGCAGGUAUUCUAAUGCUGGUAUGGCAUCUCUAUGGUCACAGGGGAUUCAAGGUUCCUUUUAUUUUCCCACCCUACCAUGCUAGUGUGGGCUUUCCAUCUUUGAGGUCACCUCGUGGUCCAUGAUGGCUGUUGGAGCUCCACCAUCAUUAUCCACAUUGUAGGAAUGAAGUAAAAGAAAAGGGAGAAUGGGCAGGAAAGGUCCAGUCAGCUUCCUUUAAAAAACUUUUUCUUAUAUUUUACAGGCCAGAACUUUGUCAAAUGUCUAUCUGCAAGAAAGGCUGAGAAGUACAACCGUUUAGGCAGGUACUUUUACACCUCAUAUAAAAUUAAACUUCUUUAAGGCAGAAGGGGCAAGUGGUAAGUGACCAGCAGUUUGUGCCAUAGAGCCAUCGCAGACCCAAAGCCUGAAAGUGGGAGGGAACUAAAGGCGAGUAGGCAGGAGAUUUAAGAAAUCUUGAAAGGGUAAUGAUGGUUCAUUCAUCUGGUUCCCAAAAACUUGCUGCCAUGGGCCUUUCAGUAGAAGUUUAUUUUCAAUUGUGCAGCUGGGUCAAGCCUUUAUUCCUUUCAACAAAUUCCUAAUUCCUAAGCAUGGGUGUCUCAGCCUUAGUUUUGCACCAGCUAUUGUAGGAGAAAAUGUCCCAACAAAAAUGUAGAAAGGAGAGACCCCAGCCAUGAUGACUAAGCAAAGUCCAGCCAACUGCCCCCCCCCCCCCACAUCUGCUUCUGUAAAUUUGUUUCCGCAUCUACUACCUUGCCUGACAUCACUCCGGUCCAACUAGCCAAGCAUGGACCCGGAAGACGUAGCCCAUAAAAGCCUUGUGAAACCCUUCUUCCGGGCUCAGACUCUGGAGAUUGAUCUCCUCUGAGCCCGCCGGCGUAAUAAACCUGAGUUCUC